AAGGUGGGAAAGGUCCAAAAAGCCCUCACGUUAUUGAUGGGACAUUUUGAUUACCUUUUCCUCUCACCCUCCCUUGGUUCAGAUUUAGAAAAGGGUUAACAGAAUGAUACAUUUAAAUUUGAUGGUACAGUUGAAUUUGAUGUCGCCCACGAGCAAAAGCUACUACGGGAACCGAUGGACCAUUCAGGGACGAGGCCAGCAGAACAAUUCUACCUACUCAAAAUGGCUAUUAUGGAAAUCAUCCAACAAUACAUGAAUGGCGUCAAAGGGACAUUUUCUGCACUCUAAAUUUCACCUAUGGCUCGGGGGAAAGCAAUUUGAGAUCUGCCCAAUUGCAUGAUGAUUCAAUGGGAAAUGCUUAAGUGCUAGUGUGCUACCUUCCUAGCUGCUAAUAAGACAGCGGAGAUCUUUCAUUGAGGUGAAAUUGUUCAAUUUUCAUUUCUUUGUCGUGGAAGGAAAUUAGUCAUCUGUCCGUAAAAUAAGAACGCUUAGAAUUCAGCCUUUAUCUUCGUCGGAUAUGGUGUCAGAAAAUGUUAAAAAUUAUGGUUUUAAAGUUUUCUGUAGCAAUUGUGAUAAUAGCUGAUUCAGUUUAAUUAGCAAUUCUUGGAGAUGUGAUAAUUACAAUGAGUAGUUUUCACGUGAUGUUGUGAAGGAUAAAUUAGGAUUUGAUGUUAUCGAUGACUUGUUGAGAGCUCAAUAAAUCACUUGCUCGGAUAUCCG
This 720-nucleotide long non-coding RNA is filed under the name Olea europaea subsp. europaea. The record is from RNAcentral. Lineage: Eukaryota; Viridiplantae; Streptophyta; Magnoliopsida; Lamiales; Oleaceae.